CUCCUUUCCUUUCAAGGCUGCCAUCAAUAAUUCACUCUGCUCGCUCGUAUCUAUGACACCUGCACCUUUUUGUCUUUCCUGCACUCACUUUAGAGCUCGUAAGAUGAAAAGUGCUGACGAGGCGGGUUUAAGAGAGCUUGUUAACGGAUGAUAAAAGAGGAACGUAUUAGUUAGUCUGUGGAGGUGGAGCUGCACCCAAGGUGACUUUCACUGCUCAUUUCAACAGGAUCACAAAGGCCUGCACGGGAAACUUUAAACCCAAACAUCCUACACACUUUCAUUCUUUUUGUGAAAGUUGUUUUUUUUAUAUUAUUUCAUUAUAUUUUGAAUUUAUCAUCAUGUCGGGAGUGAGCAGUGAUCAACUGCACAAAUCAACCCUGAAUGUCUACUCGAAUCUGAUGGAGCAGUUCAACCCAGGUCUACAGAAACUCUUUGCACUGGGGACCAGUUACGUCCAGGCUUUUCAAGCCCUGGCUGUUUGCAGUGAAGCCUACUUCAGUGCUGUGGCUAAGAUGGGAGAGCAGGC
This 526-nucleotide long non-coding RNA is filed under the name Gouania willdenowi (blunt-snouted clingfish). Its description in RNAcentral is "lncRNA (ENSGWIG00000000093.1)". The record is from RNAcentral. Lineage: Eukaryota; Metazoa; Chordata; Actinopteri; Blenniiformes; Gobiesocidae.